GAUGAAGAACGUAGCGAAAUGCGAUAAGUAAUGUGAAUUGCAGAAUUCAGUGAAUCAUCGAAUCUUUGAACGCACAUUGCGCCCGCCAGUAUUCUGGGGGCAUGCCUGUUCGAGCGUCAUUUCAACCCUCAAGCCCCAGCGGCCUGGUGUUGGGGACCGGCGACCUCGCCCGAGCCCGCCCUCCGGGGCGCGUGCCCGGUGCGUCCGCCGCCCCCGAAAUGAAUUGGCGGCCUCGUCGCGGCCUCCUCUGCGUAGUAGCACAACCUCGCAAGCGGGAGCGCGACGCGGCCACUGCCGUAAAACGCCCAACUUUUUUAGAGUUGACCUCGGAUCAGGUAGGAAUACCCGCUGAACUUAAGCAUAUCAAUAAGCGGAGGA
This 378-nucleotide unclassified non-coding RNA is filed under the name soil metagenome. Its description in RNAcentral is "partial contains 5.8S ribosomal RNA, internal transcribed spacer 2, and large subunit ribosomal RNA". The stretch from base 1 to 119 matches the Rfam family "5.8S ribosomal RNA", at positions 35 to 154 of the family's 154-position model. The record is from RNAcentral.